CUCCUGCGGUGGAAAGUCCCAGAGAUGUGAAGUCUCAUACUAAGGCCUCCCAUGCAUGAUGUGAGGUGAGAGUAAGAUUGGAUGGGAGGUGCUGGCCCUUCCUGGGAGGACAUCUGAUACUGAAGGUGACUAAGAGACAAUCUACUUUGCAAUUUUCUCAGGAAAUUUGGAGAGAGGAGCCAGGGACCUCCAAUUUCUUUCUUUGAAGAAUCUUCCCCAGGAGAUGGUUCAGAAUAGGUGUGUACAUGAAAGAGAAUCCUCCCUAAUCUUCCCUUCCACCUACCCCAUAUCACAACCGACAUUGGAUUCCUCAAACUGGGCAAGCUACAUGCUUUCAGAGACCUGGACACAUUACACGGAAGAGGGAUUCCCCUCAUUUUGGCCAUCAUGAACCCAUUAGAGGAAAUUGAAAGCUGAAUUACACUACAGCCACUUAGGAAAGAAUAAUGAGAAGGAAUAAUGAAAGUUCUUUUAAUAAGGUGACAGCAAAGUGUCUCCAGCCUUUUUUUUCUUAACAUUUUUUAUGUUUUACUUUUGCCUCACUUUGCAUUUCAAUAUUCUGAAUUUACAUAAAUAAAAAACCCCUAGCUUUGCUUUUGCAUGUGCUGGGAGCUUUGCUGACUGUAGGCUUGGAAUCUUUUCAUUUAUGAAAAGCAUUCAUUGAAGUUCCACUCUAAUGAUUCUUGGAAAGCUCAGGGGUUAACAGCCAGGAGGAAAAAAACCAGAUAAAACAAAGUUAGGUUCACAGGAAGGACUCAAGAUUGGAAGACAGUGCUGGAAUUCUGAGCUUGUGUGGACAUCAAAUCAUCAUCCCAUUCCAAUCCAUUAUUUGUUUAUUCAUGCACUCAUUUAUUCAACAAGCAUUUAAAACACCUCUGAUGGG
RNAcentral lists this long non-coding RNA (883 nucleotides) under Homo sapiens (human). Its description in RNAcentral is "HSALNT0220816". The record is from RNAcentral. Lineage: Eukaryota; Metazoa; Chordata; Mammalia; Primates; Hominidae.